ACAGCUACAACCGCUCAGAACAAGUAUUUAAGUACACAUGUCGCUUGGGAUGGCGAGUCUAAGUAUAUA
This 69-nucleotide small RNA is filed under the name uncultured Enterococcus sp. The record is from RNAcentral. Lineage: Bacteria; Bacillati; Bacillota; Bacilli; Lactobacillales; Enterococcaceae.